Molecule: long non-coding RNA, 81 nt
Organism: Etheostoma cragini (Arkansas darter)
Lineage: Eukaryota; Metazoa; Chordata; Actinopteri; Perciformes; Percidae
Exons: 3
Source: RefSeq, a predicted model, not a curated record
UUCAUACCUGGAAAAAGCGUAUGUGUCAAGCCAGGCAGGUAAUCACAUAUAGGAAGACCACAAUGCAGCCAGAUAUUUUAC